CCUGGCUCAGGACGAACGCUGGCGGCGUGCCUAACACAUGCAAGUCGAACGAGGCCAUUCCUUCGGGAGUGAGUCGAGUGGCGGACGGGUGAGUAACACGUGAGCAACCUAUCCUUGUGCGGGGGACAACCCGGGGAAACCCGGGCUAAUACCGCAUGGGCCGGAGCUUCGAGUGGAGCGCCGGGGAAAGAUGGCCUCUUUACAAUGCUAUCGCGCAGGGAGGGGCUCGCGGACUAUCAGCUAGUUGGUGAGGUAAUGGCUCACCAAGGCGGCGACGGCUACGGGGUCUGAGAGGACGACCCCGCACAUUGGAACUGAGACACGGUCCAGACUCCUACGGGAGGCAGCAGUGGGGAAUAUUGGGCAAUGGGCGCAAGCCUGACCCAGCGACGCCGCGUGCGGGAUGACGCUUCUCGGAGUGUAAACCGCUGUCAGAGGGGACGAACGGCCGGAGUGGGAAUACUGCUUCGGAUUGACGGUACCCUCAAAGGAAGCGCCGGCUAACUCCGUGCCAGCCGCCGCGGUAAUUC
RNAcentral lists this ribosomal RNA (530 nucleotides) under uncultured bacterium. Its description in RNAcentral is "bacterial SSU rRNA". It matches the Rfam family "Bacterial small subunit ribosomal RNA", at positions 18 to 526 of the family's 1533-position model. The record is from RNAcentral.